CUUGGAUCCCUGAAUGACCGUGUGGACCAGAGGCUUCCACCGUACCGCAGCACAAGCUCUCCUCUGAAGCGCUACCUCUGGUAAUUCACGGUUCUGAUUCCAUGUUGGUUGAUUCUCCAGUGGAUUUUUCUCCACCAAAUCGCUUCUGAGGCCCGUCUACCGAGGUGACGUCACACAAAGCAGGGAAAUCAUCGCUAUCGGUGACGAAUAGGCUGCUGUUAUGUGUUACUUCCACUUGCAUACAUCCAUCGCGUUUCAAGUCCUGGCGUCCAAAGGACAAUUUCAGGCCAUGGGAUAACAAAGCAUCUUCCAGGAAGCGGCGGGCUUGUAAGGAGAAGGUAAGUGGGACCAAUUUGCAGAACGUAUCUGGGGUCAAGCAGGGCUUUUCAUCGCUGGCCUCCUAAU
Molecule: long non-coding RNA, 405 nt
Filed under: Canis lupus familiaris (dog)
Lineage: Eukaryota; Metazoa; Chordata; Mammalia; Carnivora; Canidae
Description: lncRNA (ENSCAFG00845024831.1)
Source: RNAcentral